GGCUUGUUAGCGUAGUUGGUAGAGCACUACACCAGGAUUGUGGAUGUCAUGGGUUCAACUCCCAUAUAAGCCU
Molecule: non-coding RNA, 73 nt
Organism: Stylophora pistillata
Lineage: Eukaryota; Metazoa; Cnidaria; Anthozoa; Scleractinia; Pocilloporidae
Source: the annotation of a RefSeq genome assembly